AACGCGAAGAACCUUACCAAGGUUUGACAUGGCCGGAAAACUCGCAGAGAUGCGGGGUCCUUCGGGGCCGGUCACAGGUGGUGCAUGGCUGUCGUCAGCUCGUGUCGUGAGAUGUUGGGUUAAGUCCCGCAACGAGCGCAACCCUCGUCCUAUGUUGCCAGCGGGUCAUGCCGGGGACUCAUGGGAGACUGCCGGGGUCAACUCGGAGGAAGGUGGGGAUGACGUCAAGUCAUCAUGCCCCUUAUGUCUUGGGCUGCAAACAUGCUACAAUGGCCGGUACAGAGGGCUGCGAGACCGUGAGGUUAAGCGAAUCCCGGAAAGCCGGUCUCAGUUCGGAUCGGGGUCUGCAACUCGGCCCCGUGAAGCUGGAGUCGCUAGUAAUCGCGGAUCAGCAACGCCGCGGUGAAUACGUUCCCGGGCCUUGUA
This 426-nucleotide ribosomal RNA is filed under the name uncultured Actinomycetes bacterium. RNAcentral's name for it is "bacterial SSU rRNA". It matches the Rfam family "Bacterial small subunit ribosomal RNA", at positions 958 to 1385 of the family's 1533-position model. The record is from RNAcentral. Lineage: Bacteria; Bacillati; Actinomycetota; Actinomycetes.